UCUUCACUAGAUAUAUAAAACUGACAUGUUUAUGGUUUAGAAGGCUGGACUAACCCAUUAUACCUGGAAAUGUUUUUUGAUAAGAGCCUUGAAAACGACAACAUGUUUGGGCAUGUUCACUGAAAGGUUGUUUUUUUUCCAGACUGAUGGAAUGCUGAGCGUUUUGCACAACUCUGUGGUCAGAGAAAACACAUUUUCUUGGCUAAAUACUCAUUUUCUUCAGAUCUUCUAACAUCUCAGACACCCUAUGUCACCUGUUGAACCCACGUUAGUGUCCCAUUCUCUACAUGUGCGGGGUUGUGACCUCUGGACAUGACCCUCAAACAUCUCAGACACCCGAUGUCACAUGCACAAGUCACGUGAUGACCUUAUUCUUUGGAGCUGCCUUGCCAAAAGCCGUGGGGCGGGGCCGCAAAGGACCAUAUUCACAGGACCCCCAACAUGAUGUCAUACGACAAAAAUGCCAGGAAACAUGAUCUCACUUUGUUUUCACCAGAUGUGACGUCAUUUUGUUUUUACCGGAGGUGAUGUCAUUGGGAACAGAUGGCCCGAGAGGUGACGUCAUUUUAUUUUUACCGGAUGUGACGUCAUUGGGGACAGGUGGCCCGGAAGGUGACGUCAUUGUGCACGUGCGCUGGCAUGCUGCCAGCUUGUGACAUCAUAGGCAAUAAAUCAUUUUAACUAGA
Molecule: long non-coding RNA, 686 nt
Organism: Phyllopteryx taeniolatus (common seadragon)
Lineage: Eukaryota; Metazoa; Chordata; Actinopteri; Syngnathiformes; Syngnathidae
Exons: 2
Source: RefSeq, a predicted model, not a curated record